Long non-coding RNA from Vicia villosa (hairy vetch), 178 nucleotides. RefSeq lists it as uncharacterized. Lineage: Eukaryota; Viridiplantae; Streptophyta; Magnoliopsida; Fabales; Fabaceae. The transcript is spliced from 3 exons. The record is from RefSeq and is a predicted model, not a curated record.
AAAAAUGAAAGUCUGCAUAUCCUUGAACAAAUGAAAGAUAUGGGAAUACUAGUUGGGAAAGGUGGAUUUUAUGGAAAUGUUUUAAGGAUUACACCUCCACUUUGCUUCACUACGGAAGAUGCAGAUUUUCUUGUAGAUGUGAUGGACUACACAAUGUCAAGGAUGUAAAGCAUAUGCA